This 274-nucleotide ribosomal RNA is filed under the name uncultured bacterium. RNAcentral's name for it is "partial 16S ribosomal RNA". It matches the Rfam family "Bacterial small subunit ribosomal RNA", at positions 523 to 796 of the family's 1533-position model. The record is from RNAcentral.
AUACGAAGGGGGCUAGCGUUGUUCGGAAUCACUGGGCGUAAAGCGCGCGUAGGUGGAUCAAUUAGUUGAGGGUGAAAUCCCGGGGCUCAACCUCGGAACUGCCUUCAAUACUGUUGAUCUUGAGACCGAGAGAGGUGAGUGGAAUUCCUAGUGUAGAGGUGUAAUUCGUAGAUAUUAGGAAGAACACCAGUGGCGAAGGCGGCUCACUGGCUCGGUACUGACGCUGAGGUGCGAAAGCGUGGGGAGCAAACAGGAUUAGAAACCCUAGUAGUCC